Molecule: transfer RNA, 74 nt
Filed under: Candidatus Omnitrophota bacterium
Lineage: Bacteria; Pseudomonadati; Candidatus Omnitrophota
Description: Candidatus Omnitrophica bacterium (aquatic metagenome) tRNA-Val
Rfam family: tRNA
About the family: Transfer RNA (tRNA) molecules are approximately 80 nucleotides in length.
Source: RNAcentral
GGGGAAUUAGCUCAGUUGGUUAGAGCAUCUGCUUUACACGCAGGGGGUCAGGGGUUCGAGUCCUCUAUUCCCCA